This 85-nucleotide transfer RNA is filed under the name Caldifarciminota bacterium. Its description in RNAcentral is "candidate division WOR-3 bacterium (hot springs metagenome) tRNA-Leu". It matches the Rfam family "tRNA". Rfam says of the family: Transfer RNA (tRNA) molecules are approximately 80 nucleotides in length. The record is from RNAcentral. Lineage: Bacteria; Pseudomonadati; Caldifarciminota.
GCCGGAGUGGUGGAAUUGGAAGACGCGCCGGCCUCAAAAGUCGGUGGCCCGCAAGGCCGUGAGGGUUCGAGUCCCUCCUCCGGCA